ACCUCUGGCUCUGGUAUGAUGUGACGUA
RNAcentral lists this non-coding RNA (28 nucleotides) under Homo sapiens (human). The record is from RNAcentral. Lineage: Eukaryota; Metazoa; Chordata; Mammalia; Primates; Hominidae.